GAUGAACGCUGGCGGCGUGCCUAACACAUGCAAGUCGAGCGAUUCUCUUCGGAGAAGAGCGGCGGACGGGUGAGUAACGCGUGGGUAACCUGCCCUGUACACACGGAUAACAUACCGAAAGGUAUGCUAAUACGAGAUAAUAUACUUUUAUCGCAUGGUAGAAGUAUAAAAGCUCCGGCGGGACAGGAUGGACCCGCGUCUGAUUAGCUAGUUGGUAAAGUAACGGCUUACCAAGGCGACGAUCAGUAGCCGACCUGAGAGGGUGAUCGGCCACAUUGGAACUGAGACACGGUCCAAACGCCUACGGGAGGCAGCAGUGGGGAAUAUUGCACAAUGGGCGAAAGCCUGAUGCAGCAACGCCGCGUGAGCGAUGAAGGCCUUCGGGUCGUAAAGCUCUGUCCUCAAGGAAGAUAAUGACGGUACUUGAGGAGGAAGCCCCGGCUAACUACGUGCCAGCCGCCGCUGUAA
This 468-nucleotide ribosomal RNA is filed under the name uncultured bacterium. RNAcentral describes it as "partial 16S ribosomal RNA". It matches the Rfam family "Bacterial small subunit ribosomal RNA", at positions 28 to 523 of the family's 1533-position model. The record is from RNAcentral.